UACGAAGGGGGCUAGCAUUGCUCGGAAUCACUGGGCGUAAAGCGCACGUAGGCGGAUUUGUAAGUCAGGGGUGAAAUCCCGGGGCUCAACCUCGGAACUGCCUUUGAUACUGCAAAUCUCGAGUCCGGAAGAGGUGAGUGGAAUUCCUAGUGUAGAGGUGAAAUUCGUAGAUAUUAGGAAGAACACCAGUGGCGAAGGCGGCUCACUGGUCCGGUACUGACGCUGAGGUGCGAAAGCGUGGGGAGCAAACAGG
This 253-nucleotide ribosomal RNA is filed under the name uncultured bacterium. Its description in RNAcentral is "partial 16S ribosomal RNA". It matches the Rfam family "Bacterial small subunit ribosomal RNA", at positions 524 to 776 of the family's 1533-position model. The record is from RNAcentral.